Molecule: unclassified non-coding RNA, 75 nt
Filed under: soil metagenome
Description: partial internal transcribed spacer 1
Source: RNAcentral
AUGAUAUUACGAAUUAUUUGUGAACUACUACGAACAAACUAGUAAAGAAUAUUAUAGUCAAAAAAAAAAUUAUCA